Molecule: non-coding RNA, 593 nt
Organism: Chlorocebus sabaeus (green monkey)
Lineage: Eukaryota; Metazoa; Chordata; Mammalia; Primates; Cercopithecidae
Source: RefSeq, a predicted model, not a curated record
UGCGCUGGUGGUUGAGUGAUGUAAUCACGCGGAGUCUGAGGUCUCCGUGAGUGUAGGUUUCGUCGUUGUGCUGAUGACAAGCAGUGCCCGAACUCUAGGCUGGGAAUUGUGCCAGGCUGCUGCUUUCGUGGCUGACCAGAAAAGGGCAGAAGGAUUGAAGUUUACGAAGUUUUUGAAUCAGGAGGCAAAGUCGCCUUGUGCUCCAAAAAGGGUAGAAAAAGGCCUGGCUAACUGGAGAAUCGCGUCCUUACGGUGCCUGCAUAUUUAUGAUACGAAUUAAGCUGCUCAAGGGGUGCUAGGUUUGUCUGCAGUCCAUUUAUCCCUCCUGGUGGAAGACGCGUAGGGAAACUUGGUAUCCUGUGUUUUCCAGUUGAACGCUUGUGAAAAUUCGCUUUAUCCUUGAAGUUCAGAAUUUUCACCAGGAUGUAUGAUGACCCCGUCCUCGAUGGAUCAGCCGGCACCACCCAGAUAGAUAAAUUGGCUCAUCUGAUCUUGUGGCCCCCAUCCAGGAAGUGACUCAGUGCAAGAAGACAGCUUUGACUCCCUGUGAUUUCAUCUCUGACCUGACCAAUCAGCACUCUCAGCUCACUGGC